RNAcentral lists this signal recognition particle RNA (243 nucleotides) under Pongo abelii (Sumatran orangutan). RNAcentral's name for it is "Metazoan signal recognition particle RNA (ENSPPYG00000031556.1)". It matches the Rfam family "Metazoan signal recognition particle RNA". From Rfam's summary of the family: The signal recognition particle (SRP) is a universally conserved ribonucleoprotein. The record is from Rfam by way of RNAcentral. Lineage: Eukaryota; Metazoa; Chordata; Mammalia; Primates; Hominidae.
GCCAGGCACGGUGGCGGGCACCUGUAGUCCCAGCUACUUGGGAGGCUGAGGCAGGAGAAUGGCGUGAACCUGGGAGGCGGAGCUUGCAGUGAGCCAAGAUCGCGCCACUGCACUCCAGCCUGGUCGACAGAGCGAGACUUUUGAGACAGAGUCUUGCUGUGUCACCCUGGCUGGAGUACAGGGGUGCAAUCUCGGCUCACUGCAACCUCCGCCUCCCAGGUUCACGCCAUUCUCCUGCCUCAG